Long non-coding RNA from Orcinus orca (killer whale), 631 nucleotides. RefSeq lists it as uncharacterized. The transcript has 2 exons. The record is from RefSeq and is a predicted model, not a curated record. NCBI's taxonomy places the organism in Eukaryota, Metazoa, Chordata, Mammalia, Artiodactyla, Delphinidae.
CAAGGCUCCAGGCACGCACUCCCCACUAACCCGCAGGGGUCAGGAUCUGUGCUCAGCCACAAGAGGGGAGGGAUGAUCCCCGUGCCCAGGCUCCAUUUCCCCUUUCCUUCCUUCACCUCAUCCCACCCCUCCCGUGUGGUCCCAGUUCAAGCCGCCGUCCAAACCAACCACUGGCAGGAUAGCAAAUGAGGAGAUCCCCAGAAGGUCCUCUGCUAAUGACCUAGCAAGUUGCAGACCUCAACAAUUUUAUUCUAAAGAUGUAGAUUUCCCUAUAAAGAAAAAAAAUGUUUCCUGCCAUUCCAGUUCUACAAGGAUCAAGCCAUUAGCUACUACAGUCGGCCACUGAGGAGAAUUCAGGAUGGAGAAAAAAUAAGAAGUAUUCUGGGCUUUGGAUAUACUGGCCCCUAGGUAGUUAAGAUGCACAUGUAAUGAAAAUUUUUAAUGAUGCCAGAUUCUUGCAUCUUCCCUUACAUAGGAAAGCACUAAAGUCAUUAACUUGAGAUGUCUGUUUUUUGUGAUUAGCAGACUACAUAUUUUUCUCAGCAAAAAAAAUUCAUAUAUAUCCUGGUUCCUCCCUUACCUCUUCGGAGCAGCUGCUUAGUAAGGACCCCAAAUAAAACAUAACUCACAA